AACGAACGCUGGCGGCAGGCUUAACACAUGCAAGUCGAACGGAUCCUUCGGGAUUAGUGGCAGACGGGUGAGUAACGCGUGGGAACGUACCCUUUGCUACGGAAUAACUCAGGGAAACUUGAGCUAAUACCGUAUGUGCCCUACGGGGGAAAGAUUUAUCGGCAAAGGAUCGGCCCGCGUUGGAUUAGCCAGUUGGUGGGGUAAUGGCCUACCAAGGCGACGAUCCAUAGCUGGUCUGAGAGGAUGAUCAGCCACACUGGGACUGAGACACGGCCCAGACUCCUACGGGAGGCAGCAGUGGGGAAUAUUGGACAAUGGGCGCAAGCCUGAUCCAGCCAUGCCGCGUGAGUGAUGAAGGUCUUAGGAUUGUAAAGCUCUUUCACCGGUGAAGAUAAUGACGGUAGCCGGAGAAGAAGCCCCGGCUAACUUCGUG
RNAcentral lists this ribosomal RNA (433 nucleotides) under uncultured bacterium. RNAcentral describes it as "partial 16S ribosomal RNA". It matches the Rfam family "Bacterial small subunit ribosomal RNA", at positions 29 to 507 of the family's 1533-position model. The record is from RNAcentral.